Molecule: unclassified non-coding RNA, 317 nt
Filed under: Dickeya zeae
Lineage: Bacteria; Pseudomonadati; Pseudomonadota; Gammaproteobacteria; Enterobacterales; Pectobacteriaceae
Description: partial 16S-23S ribosomal RNA intergenic spacer
Rfam family: tRNA (bases 88-160)
Source: RNAcentral
ACCGAGUAGAAGUGCCUGCGUGGUGUCCACACAGAUUGUCUGAUGAUAAGAAAGAGUCAAAAGCGUCUUGCGAAGCUGACAAGUGAUGUCCCCUUCGUCUAGAGGCCCAGGACACCGCCCUUUCACGGCGGUAACAGGGGUUCGAAUCCCCUAGGGGACGCCAAUGACUGACAGUGGGUGAAAGGCACGGUCAACGCUAACCUAAAACUGAUUAGAAAUAGUCAGGUUUAUGUUAUCUGCUCUUUAACAAUCCGGAACAAGCUGAAUAAUUUGAAACGACGGCAUGUGAAUGCGAAUUCAUGUGUUGUUGGAGUCUC